GCCGGGGGUGCGGGCGCCGCGCGGAGGAGCAGGUGCUGGGCCUGGGAUCCGGGGCGCAGGUGGAGCCGGACGGCCGCACGGCCCGGAGUGCCCUGCGUCGGGGGCCUCAGACUCAGUGUUGCUGGUGACGGCCCCGGAGUCCUGGGCACUGCAGGCAGGUGCAGGUUGCAGUUGCAGGUAUUUCUGCGGGAAAAGGCUGGAAAUGCCGGGCAGCGACAGGACAGUACACCAAAAGGUUCA
This 240-nucleotide long non-coding RNA is filed under the name Canis lupus dingo (dingo). RNAcentral's name for it is "lncRNA (ENSCAFG00020003162.1)". The record is from RNAcentral. Lineage: Eukaryota; Metazoa; Chordata; Mammalia; Carnivora; Canidae.